GAUCAUUUGAGCCAAAGCUUCCUGUCUGCCCUGUAGUGGGCCUGGGGGCUCUUUGGGUGUCCCACCGGCAGAGGGAGGCCAAGCUCAAGGUGCAGGUCCAUGUUCCAUCGCCACCUGUGUUCCUUUUCUAUGCUGUGCAACAAGUUGCCACAAACGUAGCAGCUUAAAACAACAUCUGUUUAUGAUCUUCCAGUUUCUGUAGGUCAGGAGUCCGGGCAUGGCUUCACUGGGUCUUCUGCUCGGGGUCUCACAGGGCUCCUCUGUCAGGGGCCCACCAGGCUGAGGUCCCAGCUGGACCUCAGUGUCCUCUUCUAAGCUCACUCAGAUUGUAGGCGGAACUGAGUUCCUUGCGGUUGAAGUCUGAGGCCCUCAGCUGCUAGGGGCCACCCCUCCACAGGCGGCUCACAGCAUGGCUGUCUGUUUUCCCAGGCGAGAGAGAGAGCAUCUCCUUGCUUUCAGGAAAGACCUGGACUCCCUUUUAAAGGGCUCACCUGGUUAGGUCAGGCCCACCCUGGACGAUCUCCCUUUUGAUUAAGUCAAGCCCUACUGAUUAGGGACCUUAAUGACAUCUGCUAAAUCCCUUCAUCUUUGCCACAUUCUGUUGGUUAGAAGCAAGUCAGAGCGUCCACCACACUCAAGCAGAGGGGACAACACAAAGGUGUGGCCACCCCGGGGUGGGAAUCCCGGGGCCAUCUUAGAAUUAUGCCUACACACCACCUCUCCUUCGAGUUCUCAUUCUGAGUUCAAAGUGCCCCUCCUGACCCCUCGUAUCCCAAGCUCCGUCCAUCCCCACGUCUCCCGCGGUGGGAGCUAAGAGUGAAGAGGCUCUCAAAUACGCCCUUUUCAGCACUUGCGAUAGAGACGGGAGUUACUGCUGACCACAGAGCCUCAAGAUCUGGAGGACUAACGGUGGAAAAACAGCGGAGUAGUGAUCUUUGGAUGGGGGCCACUCCCUUACCAACAGGUGCUGUCCCCCACGGGGGACAGGGAAGGGAAGAAAGCGCGUCUUUAUCUUUGAAGAGCUCCUUCUGGAUGGAGACUAUUACCUCGGGCUACUGCUCUUGUUUCCCUCUGAAGUUAGCAGCUACAUCACAGAAAAUACGUAGAUAAGUGGAUUGUGAGCCACUAUCAAAUUUAAACUAUUUACAUUUUGGUUUGUGUCUUCUCAGAUUUUUACACUGCGUGCAUGAAAUGUGUGAUAAACAUCUUGGGACAUGUCGGCUCCCUCCGCCUGCCCCGAUUAUGGAUUAUUUCUGAAAGUGGGGCUUAGAGCAGGAAUCACUGGGUGAAAGCAUGCCAACGGUUUCAGGGCUGUUGGGCCAUUUUCUCGAAGGCCUGUGCUCAUUUUUGUGCUGUGACCCCUGCUGGUGAUUGGGGAUUUGCUUGUUUUCUUUGUCUUUCAAAGGAAGGCUGGGUCAAGAGCCUGGGGCUCUCUGGUGAUCCGGGUGCGGCUGGGGCGCCAUUUUGCUUUGGUCCCACUGGCACUCCCAAGGAGUGUGGGCACCGAAGGGACAGGGGGCAGAGCCCCUGAACUGCAUGUGUCAGGUUCUCUGGGCAGGGAAAGGCCAUUUCGCCCUAGGAUGGGGGGUAUUUUGACUUCCUCAAACUCCACCCCUUACCCAGGGCUCCUCCCCCGUGAACACCAGAGCCCCUGUUUUUGCAGGGUGACUCGGUGCCAGCACCUCUCAACUCAAGUCCCUUUAUUUCAAAUGAAAAAUAGAAGCAGACACACACAACGCCCUCUUCCAAGCUUGCUUGGCCAAAGAGGCAAAAGGAGGCGGAGAGAGCAGGAUUCCAAGUUCUUCCAGCCUAGGAUGGGGCCUUGGGCACCUUAUCCUCGUGGAAAGUUAUAUCCCGGGACGGGUGCCCAGGAGGCUGCCCACCCAGCCCUGCAAUUAGGGCCACAAUAGCGACAGCGGUGCUUGAAUAGGUUUUCUUUUGCAGGGAGGGCCGCCUGCCCCCGCCUCAGCUCUCAGAGCCGCAUGUGUGAACGAUUAAGCCG
This is a long non-coding RNA of Equus caballus (horse), 2002 nucleotides long. Lineage: Eukaryota; Metazoa; Chordata; Mammalia; Perissodactyla; Equidae. The record is from Ensembl.